Molecule: ribosomal RNA, 253 nt
Filed under: uncultured bacterium
Lineage: Bacteria
Description: partial 16S ribosomal RNA
Rfam family: Bacterial small subunit ribosomal RNA
Source: RNAcentral
UACGAAGGGGGCUAGCGUUGCUCGGAAUCACUGGGCGUAAAGGGUGCGUAGGCGGGUCUUUAAGUCAGGGGUGAAAUCCUGGAGCUCAACUCCAGAACUGCCUUUGAUACUGGAGAUCUUGAGUUCGGGAGAGGUGAGUGGAACUGCGAGUGUAGAGGUGAAAUUCGUAGAUAUUCGCAAGAACACCAGUGGCGAAGGCGGCUCACUGGCCCGAUACUGACGCUGAUGCACGAAAGCGUGGGGAGCAAACAGG